RNAcentral lists this ribosomal RNA (253 nucleotides) under uncultured bacterium. RNAcentral's name for it is "partial 16S ribosomal RNA". It matches the Rfam family "Bacterial small subunit ribosomal RNA", at positions 524 to 776 of the family's 1533-position model. The record is from RNAcentral.
UACAGAGGUCCCAAGCGUUGUUCGGAUUCAUUGGGCGUAAAGGGUGCGUAGGUGGCGUCGUAAGUCGGGUGUGAAAUCUCGGGGCUUAACUCCGAAACUGCAUUCGAUACUGCGCGGCUCGAGACAGGUAGGGGAGAUCGGAAUUCCUGGUGUAGCGGUGAAAUGCGCAGAUAUCAGGAGGAACACCGGUGGCGAAGGCGGAUCUCUGGGCCUGUUCUGACGCUGAGGCGCGAAAGCUAGGGGAGCGAACAGG